RNAcentral lists this non-coding RNA (21 nucleotides) under Caenorhabditis elegans. The record is from RNAcentral. Lineage: Eukaryota; Metazoa; Nematoda; Chromadorea; Rhabditida; Rhabditidae.
CGGGUUUGCUUUGAUGUUAGA